GUAGAUGGGGAUGAAGAGCAUUUGCUUUUAUCAAAUGAAAGGGUCAAGUUUUCUGUUUCGGAGAUGAGUCGUUUGAAGUUGAGAUGUUGCUUGAAGUUAGUAUUAUCAGAACUUUUGGAAAUAAUCACGACAUACAUGUGCUGAAAAACUGCAUACUUCUGCAGGCUUACUUUGUGCAAAUUGAAAGCACGAUGAACAAGUUGAUAACAGUAAGAAAAUGCAUAGAGCAUGGAGGAACUUGGCUGCCAUUAAAGAUACAUAAAAACGAAAUAAUGAAUUCAUUUCGAACUAAAUAGUGAUACUGGUGUUUCUUUAUCCAGUUGCAGGAAUAUAUUGAUGACACAGAGUACUAUAUCAAUAUUCAGGUUACUCAUUGCUGAUUUAACUUCUUUAUUAAUACUAAGACGUAAGUUACCUUGUUGCAGUUGGACAAUCAUCGAAAUCAGCUCAUCCAGUGCUGCUGGCAUGCUUUUUUCCCUCGCCGGAACACAUAUAUGUGCUGCCUGAUGACUCGACUUCUUGUACAAAUUGUUCUAAGUACUCUCACUUCUUGUUGACUGCUGUAAUAAGCGGACAUUCUUUGUUACCAACUUGCUUGUGUACAAUGUUUUAGAGGGUGGUGAAAGUCAUUUCUACUGUACUGAAGGGCCAUCGUUUUAUUUGAGGAAUGCCUUUAACAAUUUCAACUUCUGUUUUGUGUUUGCUCUAUUGUUCUCAGCAAUACUACCCAUCGCUAAGAUGGAGUAUGCUCCUGAGAUGUUGGUCGUCGUUUCACCUGUCUAUAUCUGGAUUGCAUAACUCUGGACAUAGUAAAUAUGCACAACUGAUCAGUCAAAUCCAACUUGCUUCUAAGAUAGGAAAAAAUAAUUUACCUUUUCUUUUUUUCUUACUCUGUUAAUGUACAUAAAUUUUGUAAUUAACUUGUGAAAUCAUAUUCCUGCAAAACUCAUUCA
Molecule: non-coding RNA, 953 nt
Organism: Nicotiana tabacum (common tobacco)
Lineage: Eukaryota; Viridiplantae; Streptophyta; Magnoliopsida; Solanales; Solanaceae
Source: RefSeq, a predicted model, not a curated record